RNAcentral lists this ribosomal RNA (429 nucleotides) under Acidobacteriota bacterium. Its description in RNAcentral is "Acidobacteria bacterium partial 16S ribosomal RNA". It matches the Rfam family "Bacterial small subunit ribosomal RNA", at positions 355 to 776 of the family's 1533-position model. The record is from RNAcentral. Lineage: Bacteria; Pseudomonadati; Acidobacteriota.
UGGGGAAUUUUGGACAAUGGGGGAAACCCUGAUCCAGCCAUCCCGCGUGUGCGAUGAAGGCCUUCGGGUUGUAAAGCACUUUUGGCAGGAAAGAAACGUCAUGGGUUAAUACCCCGUGAAACUGACGGUACCUGCAGAAUAAGCACCGGCUAACUACGUGCCAGCAGCCGCGGUAAUACGUAGGGUGCAAGCGUUAAUCGGAAUUACUGGGCGUAAAGCGUGCGCAGGCGGUUCGGAAAGAAAGAUGUGAAAUCCCAGAGCUCAACUUUGGAACUGCAUUUUUAACUGCCGGGCUAGAGUGUGUCAGAGGGAGGUGGAAUUCCGAGUGUAGCAGUGAAAUGCGUAGAUAUGCGGAGGAACACCGAUGGCGAAGGCAGCCUCCUGGGAUAACACUGACGCUCAUGCACGAAAGCGUGGGGAGCAAACAGG